Molecule: non-coding RNA, 79 nt
Organism: Potamilus streckersoni
Lineage: Eukaryota; Metazoa; Mollusca; Bivalvia; Unionida; Unionidae
Source: the annotation of a GenBank genome assembly
GGUGGCCUAGUGGUUAGAGUGUCCGCCUCGGAUGCGGGAGGUCGUGGGUUCGAUCCUAGGUAAAGUCAUACCAAAAACA